CAGCCGCCGCGGGAAUACGAAGGGUGCAAGCGUUAAUCGGAAUUACUGGGCGUAAAGCGUGCGUAGGCGGUGAGUUAAGUCUGCUGUGAAAUCCCCGGGCUCAACCUGGGAAUGGCAGUGGAUACUGGCUCGCUAGAGUGUGUCAGAGGAUGGUGGAAUUCCCGGUGUAGCGGUGAAAUGCGUAGAGAUCGGGAGGAACAUCAGUGGCGAAGGCGGCCAUCUGGGACAACACUGACGCUGAGGCACGAAAGCGUGGGGAGCAAACAAGAUUAGAUACCCGAGUAGUCCCUGUCUCUUAUAC
Molecule: ribosomal RNA, 301 nt
Filed under: uncultured bacterium
Lineage: Bacteria
Description: partial 16S ribosomal RNA
Rfam family: Bacterial small subunit ribosomal RNA
Source: RNAcentral